CAGUAGCCGCGGUAAUACGUAGGUCCCGAGCGUUGUCCGGAUUUAUUGGGCGUAAAGCGAGCGCAGGCGGAUAGAUAAGUCUGAAGUUAAAGGCUGUGGCUUAACCAUAGUACGCUUUGAAAACUGUUUAACUUGAGUGCAAGAGGGGAGAGUGGAAUUCCAUGUGUAGCGGUGGAAUGCAUAGAUAUAUGGAGGAACACCGGUGGCGAAAGCGGCUCUCUGGUCUGUAACUGACGCUGAGGCUCGAAAGCGUGGGGAGCGAACAGGAUUAGAUACCCGAGUAGUCCCUGUCUCUUAUACC
This 301-nucleotide ribosomal RNA is filed under the name uncultured bacterium. RNAcentral's name for it is "partial 16S ribosomal RNA". It matches the Rfam family "Bacterial small subunit ribosomal RNA", at positions 509 to 808 of the family's 1533-position model. The record is from RNAcentral.